RNAcentral lists this long non-coding RNA (1410 nucleotides) under Canis lupus familiaris (dog). Its description in RNAcentral is "lncRNA (ENSCAFG00040008653.1)". Lineage: Eukaryota; Metazoa; Chordata; Mammalia; Carnivora; Canidae. The record is from RNAcentral.
AUGCAGCGCGGGACGCCUCAGUUCAGAGCCCAGGCGCCCGUGCCCCAGCCGGCCCCCAGCAGCCAGGCCACGCCCAAACACCUGGGGCUGUGGGCGGCCGGGGGCACCGCGUGCACCCCCACGGCCCACCCCAGUCCUGAGCACCCACCGCGCCGGACCCGCGGCGCCUGCACCCCCAAGUGCCCCAGCACGCCCGGCCGCGCCCCCAGCACCCGCGCCCCCAGCACCCGCGCCCCCAGCACCCACCCCCCAACGCCCCAGCACCCGCGCCCCCAGCACCCAGCACCCGCAGCACCCACCCCCCAACGCCCCAGCACCCGCGCCCCCAGCACCCCAGCACCCACCCAACGCCCCAGCACCCACCCCCCAACGCCCCAGCACCCGCGCCCCCAGCGCCCAGCACCCGCGCCCUCAGCGCCCAGCACCCGCGCCCCCAGCACCCACCCCCCAACGCCCCAGCACCCGCGCCCCCAGCACCCACCCCCCAACGCCCCAGCACCCGCGCCCCCAGCACCCAGCACCCGCGCCCUCAGCCCCCGCGCCCUCAGCGCCCAGCAGCCUCCUAACCGCGCGACAGGUGCCCCUGCUGUGGCGGAAAACACGCGACCCACCCGGCAGUCCCGGGGAGCCCCCGCCUGCACCCGUCGCCGCCCGACGCCGCCCACAGCCUCCACUGAGCACCCCAGCUCCCGCCCAGGCCGACCCGCGGCGUCCGAGGCCCCCGCCAGCCGCCUCCCAGGCGCCCUCGCGGCGAGCGCGUGGACACGUGACCCGGACGCAGCCAACGGCGGACGCUGCUGCCCGCGGAAGGCAAAGGCGCCGGCGCUUCCGCGCGUGCCUGGCCCUUGGCCGCGCCGGCGCCUCGGAUUGGCCGCGUCCGGGUCACGUGGCCACGCCGCGGCCGCGCCCCCGCCCCGCCGCCCCGUCCGGCUGGCGGCGCCCCGCCUUGGUGGUCUCGCUGUCGCCGCGCGGCGGGGGCGGGGGCGGGGGCGCGGCGUGGAGGGCAGCGCGGGAGGGCAGUCAGCGGGCCCUCUCCCUCCAGAGGUGCAGCCUGCGCUGCUGCCGCCGCCUCCUGCCCCGCCGUCCUCCUCGCGGACGGAACGACCGGGGCGAGGUCAGCGCGUCCGUGGCCCGAGCGUCGGCCUCACUGAGAGCAAGAGCCGGGGCCACCAGGGUCCGAGCCCUCCUCCCCGCACUCACUCCCCUGCCCUCCCGCCCCAGGAGGAGCCCCGGGACGGAGAGGGGCCUCGGCCGACGGACUGCAGCCCCUGCAGCUGGCGCCACGAGCUCCAGACGCUAUCCCUGGGGAGCACCCAGGUUCCCUGCAGACCUGAGGGGUAUGGUCCACAAAGAGCCACCCACCUGUUAGCCACAUCCUUCCGGGUGGGAAGCACACUUCUCUGGGACUAG